CCCAUGUCCACAGGUGGGAACACAUGCUAUUGUAUGGUGGAAGCCAUUUCAGAGGCUCAAGAGGCAUCUCGGUGCCCCCCAUAAUAAGGGAUCUUGUGUUUGGCAAGCACAGUUGUCAAGGGUCCCAAGGACCUACACCAGUCCAUGGUGGCUUGAGAGAUGUCAGGGAAGAACAUUAGUGAAUGCUCCUCAAAGUGGUAUGGAAAUUUGGUGCGGAC
This is a non-coding RNA of Pelobates cultripes (western spadefoot toad), 218 nucleotides long. NCBI's taxonomy places the organism in Eukaryota, Metazoa, Chordata, Amphibia, Anura, Pelobatidae. The record is from the annotation of a GenBank genome assembly.